Molecule: ribosomal RNA, 253 nt
Filed under: uncultured bacterium
Lineage: Bacteria
Description: partial 16S ribosomal RNA
Rfam family: Bacterial small subunit ribosomal RNA
Source: RNAcentral
UACGUAGGUGGCAAGCGUUAUCCGGAUUUAUUGGGCGUAAAGGGAACGCAGGCGGUCUUUUAAGUCUGAUGUGAAAGCCUUCGGCUUAACCGGAGUAGUGUAUUGGAAACUGGGAGACUUGAGUGCAGAAGAGGAGAGUGGAACUCCAUGUGUAGCGGUGAAAUGCGUAGAUACAUGGAAGAACACCAGUGGCGAAAGCGGCUCUCUGGUCUGUAACUGACGCUGAGGGUCGAAAGCGUGGGUAGCAAACAGG